AAUGAACGUUGGCGGCAUGGAUUAGGCAUGCAAGUCGGGGGAAUCCCAGCAAUGGGGGAACCGGCGUAAGGGGCAGUAAGGCAUGGGUACCUACCUUGGGGUUCGGGAUAGCCAUCAGAGAUGGUGGGUAAUACCGGAUGACGUCGUGAGACCAAAGAUUCAUCGCCCUUAGAGGGGCCCAUGUGAUAUUAGCUAGUUGGUGGGGUAACGGCCCACCAAGGCGAAGAUGUCUAGCGGGUGUGAGAGCACGACCCGCGCCACUCGCACUGAGACACUGGCGAGACACCUACGGGUGGCUGCAGUCGAGGAUCUUCGGCAAUGAGCGCAAGCUUGACCGAGCGAUGCCGCGUGAGCGAUGAAGGCCUUCGGGUUGUAAAGCUCUUUAGUGGGGGAGAAAAGCCGCAAGGUGUGAUCUAUCCCAAAAAUAAGCACGGGCUAAGUUCGUGCCAGCCGCCGCUGUAA
RNAcentral lists this ribosomal RNA (462 nucleotides) under uncultured bacterium. RNAcentral's name for it is "partial 16S ribosomal RNA". It matches the Rfam family "Bacterial small subunit ribosomal RNA", at positions 29 to 523 of the family's 1533-position model. The record is from RNAcentral.